This 533-nucleotide long non-coding RNA is filed under the name Phoenix dactylifera (date palm). Its description in RNAcentral is "long non-coding RNA (PDAC_LNC014933)". The record is from RNAcentral. Lineage: Eukaryota; Viridiplantae; Streptophyta; Magnoliopsida; Arecales; Arecaceae.
CGAGUCUGACUUCGCAGUAGCAUCCGAGAGUAAAAGGACCACGGCAUGCCGGGGGGCACGGUUUCAUAUGCAUAUAAUAUGAAAAUUUUGUGAUUUGCACUACUGCUUUGUUUAAACCGCAUACUUAUUAUGCCAGGAUGAUUAUUAGAUAAACAUGCAUGUCAGCUUCUCAAAACCCUGAUUUACAUGUUUAGUCUACUGGUUGAUCCGGUAGGAUUAUGCAGGAUUACUUACUGAGCCGUGUAGCUCAUAUCCGUUCAUUUACUUUUUCUUUCAGAUCCUCACCACUGAUAGCUGCCAGAGACACGUUAAUUUGGUAUCAGGGCUUCUGGGGUAAAGCAAGUAUACUUUUGUGUACAUAAACUAUGUAGAAGCUCUGUAUUUGGGUACCAACCAGCAUGUUGUACUAAGAAUGCUUUCAUAUAAAAAGAUUCGGUUGGUUUGACUACCCUAUUACCCAGGUAUGAGGCUGCGUGCUAUUGUGGGCGGUAGUCGGCAAUAGCACGGCCGUGUCACGGAUCCGGAUCCGGGGC